CGGGGCGUAGCUCAGCCGGGUAGAGCGCACGGUUCGGGACCGUGAGGCCGGAGGUUCAAAUCCUCUCGCCCCGACCA
Molecule: transfer RNA, 77 nt
Filed under: Acidobacteriota bacterium
Lineage: Bacteria; Pseudomonadati; Acidobacteriota
Also listed under: 3 other names
Description: Acidobacteria bacterium (freshwater sediment metagenome) tRNA-Pro
Rfam family: tRNA
About the family: Transfer RNA (tRNA) molecules are approximately 80 nucleotides in length. Their secondary structure includes four short double-helical elements and three loops (D, anti-codon, and T loops).
Source: RNAcentral